UAAUUAGUAGUAGUUGCGACAACUAAAUAUCUGAACUAGUAGUCAGAAUCAGUUCUAGAGUUAGCUAGGUUCAGGAUCAUGGAUGCUAAUUUUUGUUUCUGAACUUCUCUUGUUGAAAUCUGCAAGAUAGUAUGAGGUGUUGGUGUGGCUGUGCGUGGCUGCUUCGAAAUAACAACUCAAUAUCUGUUCAUAUGGCUCGAUUUUGCAUCUCACUUCUGUUGAAUAAAUAUGCUCUAGUUCUGAACUCACUGGUGCUGAAUAAACAUGCAGAGAAUCAUAGCUGUAAGUAGAAACAGAGAGAACACCAGAAACAGGAUCGGGAACAAUUUAUCUCACUAUUUAAAAAUUUUGCCACUAGAAUAAGCUUUAGACAAUACCAGCUGACAGGAAACACAAAUCUCAGCUGAAUCAUACAGGACUACAGUGGGGCUACAUAUUAAAGCUAGACAAACACAUGAAAGUUGAUUUCACAGUUCUAUUGGGUAACUUAGUUUUCAUGCCUACUAUUUGGUUUUGGUCUAAUUUUUUCCUGUAAAGUGCCCUGCUUAUUUCUGUAGGACUAGAUUAAUGUGCCUGCAUACCAUUACAUAUGUCAGCCUUUGCCUAUGAAUGUGAAUGGUAUGUGUUUUUAGCAAAUGAGCUCAUCCUAGAUUCAAGGUGGGAUAUCGAUUGAGCAUGUACAGAGAUAACAUUCUCUUUAUUUUUUUAGGUCUCCUUGUUUAUGAGUAUGUGAUUGGAUAGUACCAAAGAUAGUGUGAUUCUAUCCAUUUACAUUAUGUUCAUGUAAGAGCAAUAGUUUAUCUAUUUGAAGGAUUACUAAUGCACUACUCGAUUCUGAUUACUGACUGUACAUUCAACCAAACCUAAAGGCUUGUAUAGCACUAGUGCACUAAUAGUGCUUGACUGAGAAGAGCAGUGAGUACUUUGUGUUGCUCCAUAUUUUUUCGUGUAGAGGCCUACAGCUGAACACACUUGAUUAGAGUACAGAUCUACAUUUUGCUGCUGAUGUGUAUGCUUCACUGUGUGACAGAGCGAAUUUCUGUCGUAUAAAAUGUCAGUGUGAUUCACUCUUUAAAAAGAUUGACCUCCCUUGAGCAGAAGUGGCCAUCCUCCCUUGAGCAGCAAAGGCCACCUCCAUCUCUUUCCACCAGCAGCGAGAAACAAGCCACCAGGAAGAACUAAGGUUUCAGAUUGUGAACUGCUGCCUUUAGGAAGAACUAAGGUUUUAGAUUGUAAACUGCUGCCUUCUGAUGUGGAUCUAUAGAACAUUGUAAGUGAGCAGGUUCAGCAACAAAAUGAGAAAAUGGAUGACUAACAAAGUGAGCUAGAAGACUUGAAGCUAAGCAGCAAGGAAGAAUCAAAGGGGAGAGAUUGAAAGUUUGAAGAAGCAUGGGGAGAGACUUUUUGGCUCUGAGUUCGUAGAGUUGUCUUGGUUGUCCUGUUAUCGAGUGACUUGUCUUUUUUUUGUUUUUUGGGCUGUUUAUGGAGUGACUUGACAAGUGAUGGUGGGCUGAAAUAUGCAUAUGAAUUUGUUGGUUUUUGGGCAAGUGAUAUCAGGCUAUAAUAAAUAUUUUGUAAA
Panicum virgatum (switchgrass) is the source of this 1579-nucleotide long non-coding RNA. RefSeq lists it as uncharacterized. Lineage: Eukaryota; Viridiplantae; Streptophyta; Magnoliopsida; Poales; Poaceae. The transcript is spliced from 3 exons. The record is from RefSeq and is a predicted model, not a curated record.